ACACUUCUGGGGUUAAUGAGUGUAAGUUUUACAAGUAUGUGUGAGAUGGGCCUCCCUCCAAUCUUCUUAUGACAUUGACACCUUACUCAUCUGGUA
Molecule: small nucleolar RNA, 96 nt
Organism: Otolemur garnettii (small-eared galago)
Lineage: Eukaryota; Metazoa; Chordata; Mammalia; Primates; Galagidae
Source: Ensembl